UUUUUGGCUUUCGGCUCGGGGAGGCAAAGGUGCAACUUUCUUCGGUCGUCCCGAAUCUGGGUUCAUCCGACACCAGCCGCCUCCGCCAUGCCGCCUAAGUUCGACCCCAACGAGAUCAAAGUCGUGUACCUGAGGUGCACCGGUGGCGAAGUCGGUGCCACGUCUGCCCUGGCCCCGAAGAUAGGCCCGCUGGGUCUGUCUCCAAAAAAGGUUGGUGAUGACAUCGCCAAGGCAACCGGUGAUUGGAAGGGUCUAAGGAUUAUGGUGAAACUGACCAUUCAGAACAGACAGGCCCAGAUUGAAGUGGUACCUUCUGCCUCUGCCCUGAUUAUCAAAGCCCUCAAGGAACCACCAAGAGACAGAAAGAAGCAGAAAAACAUUAAGCACAGUGGAAAUAUCACUUUUGAUGAGAUUGUCAAUAUUGCCCGACAGAUGCGACACCGAUCUUUAGCGAGAGAACUCUCUGGAACCAUUAAAGAGAUCCUGGGGACUGCCCAGUCUGUGGGCUGCAAUGUAGAUGGCCGCCACCCUCAUGACAUCAUAGAUGACAUCAACAGUGGUGCGCUGGAAUGCCCGGCUAGUUAACUACAAAGGAAAAUGUUUCAAUAAAGGAUCAUUUGACAACCAGUGGACCUUUUGAUGUGGCCUCUUCCUUGGGGGAGCUAGCUCCUUUGUGGUCAGAUGGUGGGCCAGGGUGGCAGAAGCUGUGAAGUAGCUAUUUGGGUAGCAAGUUCCUUCUGGGUGACAGAUGGAUGCCCUGUAUGGGACUAGCUCAGAGAAGACACCUAGAAAGGAAGUUCUUGGCCUUCUGUAGGCUGCAUAUACGUGGAACUCUUCGUAAGAAUAAAAUUCUUUGCCAAAAAGAAAAAA
Non-coding RNA from Callorhinus ursinus (northern fur seal), 870 nucleotides. Lineage: Eukaryota; Metazoa; Chordata; Mammalia; Carnivora; Otariidae. The record is from RefSeq and is a predicted model, not a curated record.